RNAcentral lists this ribosomal RNA (496 nucleotides) under uncultured bacterium. Its description in RNAcentral is "partial 16S ribosomal RNA". It matches the Rfam family "Bacterial small subunit ribosomal RNA", at positions 28 to 523 of the family's 1533-position model. The record is from RNAcentral.
GAUGAACGCUGGCGGCGUGCUUAACACAUGCAAGUCGAACGAAGUAUAUUGGAAUGAGUUCUUCGGAACAAAUGAAUUUAUACUUAGUGGCGGACGGGUGAGUAACGCGUGGAUAACCUGCCUUACACUGGGGGACAACAGUUAGAAAUGACUGCUAAUACCGCAUAAGCGCACAGUACCGCAUGGUACGGUGUGAAAAACUCCGGUGGUGUAAGAUGGAUCCGCGUCUGAUUAGCUAGUUGGUGAGGUAAUGGCUCACCAAGGCGACGAUCAGUAGCCGGCCUGAGAGGGUGAACGGCCACAUUGGGACUGAGACACGGCCCAGACUCCUACGGGAGGCAGCAGUGGGGAAUAUUGCACAAUGGGCGAAAGCCUGAUGCAGCGACGCCGCGUGAGCGAAGAAGUAUUUCGGUAUGUAAAGCUCUAUCAGCAAGGAAGAUAAUGACGGUACUUGACUAAGAAGCCCCGGCUAACUACGUGCCAGCCGCCGCGGUAA